GUGCUUGCUUCGGCAGCACAUGUACUAAAAUUGGACAGAUACUGAGAAGAUUAGCAUGGCCCCUGUACAGGGAUGACAGGCAAAUUUGUGAAGCGUCCCAUAUUUUU
This is a small nuclear RNA of Trichosurus vulpecula (common brushtail), 107 nucleotides long. The record is from RefSeq and is a predicted model, not a curated record. NCBI's taxonomy places the organism in Eukaryota, Metazoa, Chordata, Mammalia, Diprotodontia, Phalangeridae.